Molecule: unclassified non-coding RNA, 200 nt
Filed under: soil metagenome
Description: partial contains internal transcribed spacer 2 and large subunit ribosomal RNA
Source: RNAcentral
UGCCUGUUCGAGCGUCAUUACACCACUCAAGCCCGGCUUGGUAUUGGGCGGUAGGGCUCUCCUACGCCUCAAUUUUACCGGCUAGACGACCCGUAUCUCAGCGUUGUGGUAUUCAAUUCGCUGGCGAGAAGGGCGGUCUGCGCCGUUAAACUUCUAUCAAGGUUGACCUCGGAUCAGGUAGGGAUACCCGCUGAACUUAA